UAAAUACUCCCUCCGUCCGAAAAUACUUAUCAUAGGAAUGGAUGUAUCUAGAUGUAUUUUAGUUAUAGAUACAUCCAUUUUUAUUCAUUUAUGUGAUAAGUAAUUCCGGACGGAGGGAGUAUUUA
This 125-nucleotide microRNA precursor is filed under the name Hordeum vulgare. RNAcentral describes it as "microRNA MIR1122". It matches the Rfam family "MIR1120/MIR1122 microRNA precursor family". The record is from RNAcentral. Lineage: Eukaryota; Viridiplantae; Streptophyta; Magnoliopsida; Poales; Poaceae.